AACGCACCUUGCGCCUUUUGGUAUUCCGAAAGGCAUGCCUGUUUGAGUGUUAUGAAUACUCACCCAGUACUAUUUUGUACCGUGGUGGACAUGGGCGCUGCCGUCUUUGGCUCGCCUCAAAUGCAUUAGCAGCAGAUGUAAUAAGUUUCAUCAGCCUGCUUACAAAAUCAUUUGUACACUUGACCUCAAAUCAGGUAGGACUACCCGCUGAACUUAA
This 217-nucleotide unclassified non-coding RNA is filed under the name Pseudotomentella sp. RNAcentral's name for it is "partial contains 5.8S ribosomal RNA, internal transcribed spacer 2, and large subunit ribosomal RNA". The stretch from base 1 to 52 matches the Rfam family "5.8S ribosomal RNA", at positions 103 to 154 of the family's 154-position model. Lineage: Eukaryota; Fungi; Basidiomycota; Agaricomycetes; Thelephorales; Thelephoraceae. The record is from RNAcentral.